Long non-coding RNA from Gasterosteus aculeatus aculeatus (three-spined stickleback), 1823 nucleotides. NCBI's taxonomy places the organism in Eukaryota, Metazoa, Chordata, Actinopteri, Perciformes, Gasterosteidae. The record is from Ensembl.
GUGUGUUUGCGUGGCAAUCAAAAAACAGUUUUCCGAAUGCCGCCGAGAUCAGAAAGAGACAGACAAAGACACGCUUUGCCCCAUGCGGAGAGAUGUGAAGUCAAUGAUGUGUCGUGCAAUAAUGGAGUCACAUUUCUGCCUCAUUUGUGCGGCCAAAAACUCCCGGCAACUCGCAGCUCGUCUCCGCUCGCGCGCCUCGCCGCAUCCCGUCCGCGCACGCACAACCUCGCAAGCAGCCGUGACGCGCGGGAGGAGGGAGAACGCGGAGGUCAGAGAAAAAAGGAGGCUCCUGACGGAAGGAUGCAUGUGGGGGCAGAGACAAAGCACCUGGCUGAAAAGGUGAGUCACAGAAGCAGGUAAUUGCUCUGACAUUUACUUCUAAUGAAGGAUUGGGACGAUAAUGGGACCUAUUUGCAUUAGUAGAAAAAAACACACACACACACACACACACACGUAGAGGCAACAAACGCACACAUGCACACUUAAAGAGUCCUCCUCAACACUUAGCACAGUGCAAAGCUGCGCUCCAGAGCCUGACUCACACACAUUACGCGCCAAUGCGGAGGAGGGAGAAAGUGCAUCGAGGCCUCAGACGAGACGACGGUGAAGAGGACGAGCGCGGCGCAGCGGGGACGAAGGACAGGAGGGGAGACGAGGGGAGAGAGGUCACCGACGCGGGAGACGCUGACCCAUUUUCUCCCCCCCCUCCCCUCCCCUCUCUCUCUCUUCCAGGUGUUUUGUGUGACCGUCUUGCAAAGGCAGGACGGGGAUCUCUGCUCUUUCGUUCAGUCAAGGUGUUCUGUGGGAGCCGCAAGACGUGAUGCUCGAAUCCUGUGGAAAAAGAGGUGUUUCUUUAAAAAAAAGAAGAAAAAAAAAAUGUCAACGGCUGAAAAGCACAAAGAGCAAAACAGACGCGGCCUUGGGAACCGAGAGGAAAAAAUAUAGUUUUUUUUAAAAAUGAAGUGAGAGGCGGUAAGACAGUUAGAAAAAAAAAAAAGAAAAGAAAAGUGAGAGCGAGAAAGAAAGAAGUGCAUUUCCCCGACAUGAGUCACUUCUGAGUGAAAGCUUUGUAAUUUAAGCCGCACGCAGCGAAAGAAAGAACGAAAGAGGGACAGAUGCAGCGGCACCGACGUGGAGAGACGUGGACAUUUACCCAACGCCGACAACAGCAGCACCGUGCGUUCCUGACGUUACAAAACCAUCUGGGUUAAUUCCAAUUUAAAACAGUGCCACAGAACAGGUGGACUCCACAUUAACUGCACGUUGGCGUUCCUCUAAAGUGGAUGUGGUCCACGGUGUCUCUCACACUUCAACCACCACAUCCUCCCGUGGAGCUUCAUUUAUGCACAUUGAAAAGACAAGCGGACGCCGACAGGACGCAGUUUGUCAUUUCGGAUCAUGGUUGUAAUUGUUAUGUAAUUGUUAUAAUGUUUAAUGCGAAAAAGUUCCAGCGAGUGUCCCCGAAUGUCUUCGGGCAGGACUUAGUCAAGUAUCAAGUAUCAAGAGUCAAAUAUUGACAGUGGGACCAUUUUCGACAAGGAAGUAAUAUCUCGUAUGGAAAGUUUCCGUCGAGGGCUUUCUAGAUAAAUAGAAACCAAUGCGUGUCAAUGCGACGAUAACUGGCGUAAUCAACUGAAUCAACGGGUUUAACAGUGGAGGCGUGUCUGCAGACAAUAAUACAGAUAAGCUCAAUAAUACAGAUAAGCCUUAAUUGUUUGUUUUUGUACUCAACACGGCAAAAUUGAUUCUGCUUUAAUGUCAGUUCUUGUAUUUAUUGUAUCUUUGUUGAUGAGUUUGCCAGAAGUUUUAUACCUGAUAACCGU